RNAcentral lists this long non-coding RNA (553 nucleotides) under Ananas comosus (pineapple). Its description in RNAcentral is "long non-coding RNA (ACOM_LNC033747)". Lineage: Eukaryota; Viridiplantae; Streptophyta; Magnoliopsida; Poales; Bromeliaceae. The record is from RNAcentral.
CGGCCUACCAGCACUGAUCCGUUUCCCACGUCCUGCGCCCGGAUCUGGCAAAGCUCGGGGCCGCGUAGGAGGAGGAGGAGGAGGAGGAGAAGGGCCUCCGAUCGCCGCGCGGUGGCGCCGCGGCGGCGGCGGCGGCGGCGGCGGCGGCGGCGGCGGCGGCGGCGGCGGAGGAGAGGGACGUGGAGCGGUCGUAGCGGGCGCGCUGGUCGGGGUCGGAGAGGGUGGCGUAGGCGGCGUGGAUGCGGAUGAACUCGUCGGCGGAGGCGCCGCGGACGACGUCGGGGUGGCGCUCGCGCGCGAGGCGCCGGUACGCGGCCUUGAUCUCGCGCCCCGUCGCCGCCGCGCCGAUCCCGAGCACGUCGUACAGCGUUCCGCCGGCUGCGGCGGAGGGUGCGGCGGCGGCGGCGGAGGCGCGGAGGCGGAGGCGACGGGGGAGAGGAGGGGGACGGGGAGGGUUCCGAAGCCCGAGAAGGGAGUUCGGAGAGGAGAGGGAGAGCGAUGCAACAGCAACCAUGGAGAAUACGGAGAUGGGGAGAGAUUGGAGAGGUUGAAG